RNAcentral lists this ribosomal RNA (262 nucleotides) under uncultured bacterium. RNAcentral's name for it is "partial 16S ribosomal RNA". The record is from RNAcentral.
CUGCUGCCUCCCGUAGGAGUCUGGGCCGUGUCUCAGUCCCAGUGUGGCCGUCCACCCUCUCAGGCCGGCUGCUGAUCGUCGCUUUGGUGGGCCGUUACCCCGCCAACUGGCUAAUCAGACGCGGGCCCAUCCUGUACCACCGGAGUUUUCAAAGGAUUACCAUGCGGUAUUCCCUAUUAUGCGGUAUUAGCACCUAUUUCUAAGUGUUAUCCCCGGUACAAGGGGCAGGUUGCCCACGCGUUACUCACCCGUCCGCCACUAA